GAUGAACGCUGGCGGCGCGCCUAAUACAUGCAAGUCGAGCGAAUGGAUUAAGAGCUUGCUCUUAUGAAGUUAGCGGCGGACGGGUGAGUAACACGUGGGUAACCUGCCCAUAAGACUGGGAUAACUCCGGGAAACCGGGGCUAAUACCGGAUAACAUUUUGAACCGCAUGGUUCGAAAUUGAAAGGCGGCUUCGGCUGUCACUUAUGGAUGGACCCGCGUCGCAUUAGCUAGUUGGUGAGGUAGCGGCUCACCAAGGCAACGAUGCGUAGCCGACCUGAGAGGGUGAUCGGCCACACUGGGACUGAGACACGGUCCAGACUCCUACGGGAGGCAGCAGUAGGGAAUCUUCCGCAAUGGACGAAAGUCUGACGGAGCAACGCCGCGUGAGUGAUGAAGGCUUUCGGGUCGUAAAACUCUGUUGUUAGGGAAGAACAAGUGCUAGUUGAAUAAGCUGGCACCUUGACGGUACCUAACCAGAAAGCCACGGCUAACUACGUGCCAGCCGCCGCGGUAA
This 515-nucleotide ribosomal RNA is filed under the name uncultured bacterium. RNAcentral describes it as "partial 16S ribosomal RNA". It matches the Rfam family "Bacterial small subunit ribosomal RNA", at positions 28 to 523 of the family's 1533-position model. The record is from RNAcentral.